RNAcentral lists this ribosomal RNA (253 nucleotides) under uncultured bacterium. RNAcentral's name for it is "partial 16S ribosomal RNA". It matches the Rfam family "Bacterial small subunit ribosomal RNA", at positions 524 to 776 of the family's 1533-position model. The record is from RNAcentral.
UACAGAGGGUGCGAGCGUUGUUCGGAAUUACUGGGCGUAAAGCGUGCGCAGGCGGCUCCUUAAGUCAGAUGUGAAAUCCCCGGGCUUAACCUGGGAACUGCGUUUGAAACUGAGGGGCUUGAGUGUGGAAGAGGGGGGUGGAAUUCCAGGUGUAGCAGUGAAAUGCGUAGAGAUCUGGAGGAACACCGAUGGCGAAGGCAGCCCCCUGGGCUGACACUGACGCUCAUGCACGAAAGCGUGGGGAGCAAACAGG